CCUCCGGGUGGCAGCAGUGAGGAAUAUUGGUCAAUGGACGAGAGUCUGAACCAGCCAAGUAGCGUGAAGGAUGACUGCCCUAUGGGUUGUAAACUUCUUUUAUAAAGGAAUAAAACGAGGCACGUGUGCCUUUUUGCAUGUACUUUAUGAAUAAGGAUCGGCUAACUCCGUGCCAGCAGCCGCGGUAAUACGGAGGAUCCGAGCGUUAUCCGGAUUUAUUGGGUUUAAAGGGAGCGUAGAUGGGUUGUUAAGUCAGUUGUGAAAGUUUGCGGCUCAACCGUAAAAUUGCAAUUGAUACUGGCAGUCUUGAGUACAGUUGAGGUAGGCGGAAUUCGUGGUGUAGCGGUGAAAUGCUUAGAUAUCACGAAGAACCCCGAUUGCGAAGGCAGCAUACCGGCGCUCAACUGACGCUCAUGCACGAAAGUGUGGGUAUCGAACAGGAUUAGAUACCCGGGUAGUC
Molecule: ribosomal RNA, 460 nt
Filed under: uncultured bacterium
Lineage: Bacteria
Description: partial 16S ribosomal RNA
Rfam family: Bacterial small subunit ribosomal RNA
Source: RNAcentral